CAUCUCUUGACCAGGGUGUUCUCACCAUGCCCCUUCUACAAACAAAAAAAUGAAGAUGUGGAGACUUGGAGACAGGUGGCACCUCGUGCUUCCUCAGAAGGGAAAGCCCAUUUCAUAACAGCUGGAUCAAAGGCAUGAAAUGAACAUGGAGCCCCUGAAGACGAAGAGAAGGCAUGGCUGCCAGGGAGAAAUUGUACAUUACAGGAAUGCAGAUGUGAUUCCAGUGACUUAGCUUCAACUCUAUGGAUGAGGGUAACCUAGAGGCUAGAAGAACAAUAGGACAGAAGAAGCCUGGGUCCCUGAACAACCUUGUGGAGCAUAGACACCUACCUGGCCUGGACUACCAGCUCACAGUGGGCCUCUCCUUGAGAGAGAAGGAAACUUCCUUCUUGUUCAAGCAACUGUACUUUUGAGAAUCUCUUGGUCUAUACCCUAAUAAAUAGGCCAUCAUAAAUGGAUAUCAAAGUAAGGAAAUUUGUGUAAAUGAUUUAAUAAAACAUUACCUUAGGUAUGAAAUAA
RNAcentral lists this long non-coding RNA (519 nucleotides) under Pongo abelii (Sumatran orangutan). RNAcentral's name for it is "lincRNA". Lineage: Eukaryota; Metazoa; Chordata; Mammalia; Primates; Hominidae. The record is from RNAcentral.